UUUGUUCAAAUGCUCAUGUUUUGCUAAAAUUUUUGAAAUUCAAAACAACGUUUGUUUUGAAUUUCAAAAAUUUGUCUCUUCUGUGAAAUUUUCUAAUAUAUAAAAACAUAAAUUGUCAACUAAUGUAACUGCAUGGUCAAGAUUAUAUAAUGAUUAUUUGCAAUGGAUACAAUGAUGAUAAAUACAGAUUCCAUUGUUUUUUUGAAACCGAUCGUACAUAAUGUGGAUGUCAAUAUGAACUCAAAAGACUAUAUGAUAGCUUAUGCUGUUCAAAAUGAAUUGAUCAUAGAAAACUUUAAAGU
Parasteatoda tepidariorum (common house spider) is the source of this 302-nucleotide non-coding RNA. NCBI's taxonomy places the organism in Eukaryota, Metazoa, Arthropoda, Arachnida, Araneae, Theridiidae. The record is from RefSeq and is a predicted model, not a curated record.